RNAcentral lists this ribosomal RNA (475 nucleotides) under Streptococcus mitis. RNAcentral's name for it is "bacterial SSU rRNA". It matches the Rfam family "Bacterial small subunit ribosomal RNA", at positions 28 to 489 of the family's 1533-position model. The record is from RNAcentral. Lineage: Bacteria; Bacillati; Bacillota; Bacilli; Lactobacillales; Streptococcaceae.
GACGAACGCUGGCGGCGUGCCUAAUACAUGCAAGUAGAACGCUGAAGGAGGAGCUUGCUUCUCUGGAUGAGUUGCGAACGGGUGAGUAACGCGUAGGUAACCUGCCUGGUAGCGGGGGAUAACUAUUGGAAACGAUAGCUAAUACCGCAUAAGAGUAGAUGUUGCAUGACAUUUGCUUAAAAGGUGCAAUUGCAUCACUACCAGAUGGACCUGCGUUGUAUUAGCUAGUUGGUGAGGUAACGGCUCACCAAGGCAACGAUACAUAGCCGACCUGAGAGGGUGAUCGGCCACACUGGGACUGAGACACGGCCCAGACCCCUACGGGAGGCAGCAGUAGGGAAUCUUCGGCAAUGGACGGAAGUCUGACCGAGCAACGCCGCGUGAGUGAAGAAGGUUUUCGGAUCGUAAAGCUCUGUUGUAAGAGAAGAACGAGUGUGAGAGUGGAAAGUUCACACUGUGACGUAUCUACCAGAAA